UGCAGUCGAGCGGACAGAUGGGAGCUUGCUCCCUGAUGUUAGCGGCGGACGGGUGAGUAACACGUGGGUAACCUGCCUGUAAGACUGGGAUAACUCCGGGAAACCGGGGCUAAUACCGGAUGGUUGUCUGAACCGCAUGGUUCAGACAUAAAAGGUGGCUUCGGCUACCACUUACAGAUGGACCCGCGGCGCAUUAGCUAGUUGGUGAGGUAACGGCUCACCAAGGCGACGAUGCGUAGCCGACCUGAGAGGGUGAUCGGCCACACUGGGACUGAGACACGGCCCAGACUCCUACGGGAGGCAGCAGUAGGGAAUCUUCCGCAAUGGACGAAAGUCUGACGGAGCAACGCCGCGUGAGUGAUGAAGGUUUUCGGAUCGUAAAGCUCUGUUGUUAGGGAAGAACAAGUGCCGUUCAAAUAGGGCGGCACCUUGACGGUACCUAACCAGAAAGCCACGGCUAACUACGUGCCAGCAGCCGCGGUAAUACGUAGGUGGCAAGCGUUGUCCGGAAUUAUUGGGCGUAAAGGGCUCGCAGGCGGUUUCUUAAGUCUGAUGUGAAAGCCCCCGGCUCAACCGGGGAGGGUCAUUGGAAACUGGGGAACUUGAGUGCAGAAGAGGAGAGUGGAAUUCCACGUGUAGCGGUGAAAUGCGUAGAGAUGUGGAGGAACACCAGUGGCGAAGGCGACUCUCUGGUCUGUAACUGACGCUGAGGAGCGAAAGCGUGGGGAGCGAACAGGAUUAGAUACCCUGGUAGUCCACGCCGUAAACGAUGAGUGCUAAGUGUUAGGGGGUUUCCGCCCCUUAGUGCUGCAGCUAACGCAUUAAGCACUCCGCCUGGGGAGUACGGUCGCAAGACUGAAACUCAAAGGAAUUGACGGGGGCCCGCACAAGCGGUGGAGCAUGUGGUUUAAUUCGAAGCAACGCGAAGAACCUUACCAGGUCUUGACAUCCUCUGACAAUCCUAGAGAUAGGACGUCCCCUUCGGGGGCAGAGUGACAGGUGGUGCAUGGUUGUCGUCAGCUCGUGUCGUGAGAUGUUGGGUUAAGUCCCGCAACGAGCGCAACCCUUGAUCUUAGUUGCCAGCAUUCAGUUGGGCACCCUAAGGUGACUGCCGGUGACAAACCGGA
This 1127-nucleotide ribosomal RNA is filed under the name Bacillus sp. (in: firmicutes). RNAcentral's name for it is "bacterial SSU rRNA". It matches the Rfam family "Bacterial small subunit ribosomal RNA", at positions 56 to 1167 of the family's 1533-position model. The record is from RNAcentral. Lineage: Bacteria; Bacillati; Bacillota; Bacilli; Caryophanales; Bacillaceae.